AGUGAACGCUGGCGGUAGGCCUAACACAUGCAAGUCGAACGGCAGCACAGUAAGAGCUUGCUCUUACGGGUGGCGAGUGGCGGACGGGUGAGGAAUACAUCGGAAUCUACUUUUUCGUGGGGGAUAACGUAGGGAAACUUACGCUAAUACCGCAUACGACCUACGGGUGAAAGCAGGGGAUCUUCGGACCUUGCGCGAUUGAAUGAGCCGACGUCGGAUUAGCUAGUUGGCGGGGUAAAGGCCCACCAAGGCGACGAUCCGUAGCUGGUCUGAGAGGAUGAUCAGCCACACUGGAACUGAGACACGGUCCAGACUCCUACGGGAGGCAGCAGUGGGGAAUAUUGGACAAUGGGCGCAAGCCUGAUCCAGCCAUACCGCGUGGGUGAAGAAGGCCUUCGGGUUUUAAAGCCCUUUUGUUGGGAAAGAAAAGCAGCAGGUUAAUACCCCGCUGUUCUGACGGUACCCAAAGAAUAAGCACCGGCUAACUUCGUG
RNAcentral lists this ribosomal RNA (492 nucleotides) under uncultured bacterium. RNAcentral's name for it is "partial 16S ribosomal RNA". It matches the Rfam family "Bacterial small subunit ribosomal RNA", at positions 29 to 507 of the family's 1533-position model. The record is from RNAcentral.